This 586-nucleotide non-coding RNA is filed under the name Pan troglodytes (chimpanzee). The record is from RNAcentral. Lineage: Eukaryota; Metazoa; Chordata; Mammalia; Primates; Hominidae.
AAGUUUUAUCAGCUAGUUCAUGCUUGCGUUGAAAGAGUGGUCGUUUACGCUGGGUCAUCACUGUGUAGUAUUGGGGAUACUUAGGUGAGAAAAAAACUUAACGCUAGAGACGUUCACGCACUAGUGGAGAAGCCAGGAUUGUUGCCCUAGAGUUACAGUAGAUAAAAGUACCUGAGAGAACUGCGGGGGCUCCCAACCUGGACGCUUGCACCGGAGUAUUAAAUCCAGCUAGAGAAUGGCAUGUGCAAAGAUACAGAGCCACAGUCAGAUGGGCAGCUGAAGGUGAUGAUGAUGAUCUUGACACCGAGAAGCAGAAGACCAAUGAAGAUGACCAGACAGCAAAAAAGGAUAAGUUAAAAGAAGGUAAAAGAAGGCCACUCGUACUUGCUGUCUCAGUAUCUAAAGGUGGUCACCUUCCAGUAGAGAGGCCCACCCACUGCAGACAGUGCCACCGAAGGUGACAUGCACUUUCUGCCACCCAUCCAAAACUGUAACGUGAAUCUGCAACAGGAGAGGAAAGAAGAACCAAAACUUCCAAGGCCUUGCAUUUUUUCUUAAAAGCAUUUUUUUUUUUUUUUUUUGGAGA